Non-coding RNA from Meleagris gallopavo (turkey), 3075 nucleotides. The record is from RefSeq and is a predicted model, not a curated record. NCBI's taxonomy places the organism in Eukaryota, Metazoa, Chordata, Aves, Galliformes, Phasianidae.
GGCGCACGAGCUGGAAAAGUGGUGUCUCUUGUCAUGUGAGGCUGCUGAGCAAAUGCCAGAGAAGUGAGUGUAUGAGCAGUGCAGGUAUGGAAGAGAAUGGGAGCCAGUUCGCAUGGCAAGAGCCAUGGGAAAGCUCUCUGUGUCAGCACAUCUGCUUGAGGACACAAUUGUGACACUUUUUGAGGCCUUGUGGACAGGUGCCUUGCAGGGAGCUUAAGCCUCAAGCAGCAAAUGAAGUCCAGGGAGGCUGUCCUCCCAUGCAGGCAGACAGCAUUGCUGUCUUCUUUUCUGGAACCCUUACUCAGAGUUACGUCCAGUCUGCAAUGAAGCAUUUUUUUUUGUGAUCUAAAACCUCAACCAGAAACCGAUAUUAGUGAAUAAUCAAGGAGGGAGAAAAAGACCUGAUGUGUCAGGGGGAGUUUGGAGUUCUGCUUCAGCCUGAAGAUCUAAAGCUGAGACAUCCUUCCUGCAGAGCAGCAGUACGUGGGAUGCACCCACUGAGCCCUGGGUGCGUGUGUGCUUCCAGCACCUGCAGGGAAACACUCUGUGUUGAAAUCUAUUUGUCACUGCUCACAUUAAACAAAAUCAGGAAUUUGCAUAAUUCCUUCAGAAAGCAAUAAGAAUUCGUUUCACCAUGCUGAAUACAACCACGUGUAAUUUUGUCAUGCUUAAGUUAACUACUGAAUUUCUUACCAUUCCCCAUCGUUUUAUGAUUUUAAGGAAAUGGAUGUUGGCAGUAGCUGAAGUGAAAUCUGUCUUUAAGAAGAGAUGAAUAAUCACUGAGACACAUUGCACACACUGUGAAACAUUUUUGGCAUAAAAUGAAAUGCACGUAUUGUAUUUGUAACCAACAUACCUUAAAAGCAGAGCAAAGAUUGAUCUCCCAGGCACAGGGUCAAAGAUCUAUAACAAACUCUAUACAAUGCAUGCUGUUUGCAUUUAGUAAUCAUACUCUGCUCUGUGUAACUAGAAACAAGAUUCAUUGAAGACAAUAAUUCAGCAGCCUUUUUUGCCAUAGUGUUUUACUACAAUCCCAUUAUCCUGCCAUAUUACGUUUUACAGUAUGUGUGCAAGUCCCAUAAAUACAUGAGCCUAUGUAAAAUAGGCAGCAAUGACUCUCACUGCUUUCUGAACUCCGCAGCUUGUGAAUUUUAUGUGGGUUUUGCAUUUUGUUGAUGUGUUUGCAGCAGGAUGUAUACUGCCCAGAAGAGAAAUUAUUUUAUAUUUCCAUUAAAAGCUACAGCAGUAAAUAAGCCAUCAGAACUCAUGCAGAUUUUCACUGGAACUUCUACAGCAGUCCAUUAAAGCAUCAAAAUCUGUGUUAAAAAUUUGAAAAAGUAUUUGGAUACAGCUCCAUUUAAACCUUAAAUAUAUAUUUGGAUAUAAAUGAUAAAGAUAUUUUAGAGUCUUCUGCAGACCUCUCGAGUUUGCACUCAUCAACAACAGCUCAGCACAACGGCAGAUGCAGAAGGGUCUGCAAGUCAUUGAUACCCAAAUAUGAACUAUUCAGAGACUUAAUCUCAGAAGGUAUUUACUUAGAAUAAAAGAGAUUUGGAAUAAAUCUCCAGGCCAACUUCUGCUCCAAUUGACUUUAUCAGCGCUCCAGCACUUCCAGUUGGGACUUGGCUCCUCGAGCUAACACCAGAUGCAACACAGAACUGCAGCUCUCCCAUUUAGCAGCAUAAGCACUGCAGCACUGCUCUGGCAAAGAUGAACAGAAUCCAGAAAGCAAAAGGGUUCGUUUGAUUUUCUUUAUGUGAAAGCCUGCUGUUUAGAAAUGCUGAUCUCUAGUAUCAAUAAGUUGGAAGACUCAUUACUAACGUGCCCACAACCAACAUCACAGCCCCUGACCAGAACAGUGAAGAGAACUUAAAAACAGAUGCCUAAAAAGAUUUCUAGCAAAAAUCAGCUACAAAAUUACAUCUUAACUUGUUCCAACAUCCCAAAUUCCACUCUUAUGCACUGAUAAUGUAAGAUGUACAGAAUAAAGGUUAUCCUAAACUUCACUGAAUGCAUAUUGACCAAGUCUUUUCCAGGCUCCAGUUCAACAACCAUCACAGAGUGCAACAUCACAACCAUCAAGAAGCAGACAGGAAAGAAAUGCCAUCAAUGAACCAAAGAGGAUGCUGUAAUUUAUUCUGUUUGCUGACUCCAGGAUCCUGUGGAAAGCACCAGGAUCUAUUAGUAAUAUUGAUUCCAGAUGCAGCCCAAGUACAGACUUGCACAAAAAGACAGAAUCAAGUUGUUCAAUUCUUCAUUAUUUCACUUCUAAAGUAAACGAAUGUGCCACUGAGAGGCACCGAGUCCAAUGCUCAGUAUGUUCUUAAAAUUAAUAGAAGAAUAUCCUUUGGCAAGAAAAGAGGAAAACAUUCAGGGAUGACAAUUAUGGUUACUGACCUGCCAACAUUAUGGAUAUGAAAUCUUACCCAAGUUGCUUUACAUAGUCACUGACAGCAGGUAUGAACAGAACUAGAUCUUGUUAAUAGUAUGACUGUAAUACAUAGAAAGGAGCAGCAAACACAUUUCUUGAGGAUGAGGGCUUAGCAUCCAUUGCAGAAACUUGCCCCUCCUUUGCUUUGCACUGAUCUAAAGCCAAGAUUUGUAAAAAGAGAGCAAUGGGGCUUAAGAACCCAGCUGGGUUUAACUCCUUUACAUCUUGAUAAACACAAAGGUUUAUGGGUUUUUUUCUCACCAAACAUGGCAGCAGAGACCUGAGGCUGAGCACCCAUCUGGCAGCUCCCAGAAACCAUCAGCAGAUGUGGAUUUAUCAUCCUAUCCAACUCCUGUGCUACACCACAAUUGCAGCACUGCACACACCCUGAGCUAAAUGAAGCCUCUGUUGCACACAAUUAAUAAACCUAUCUAUGGGGAGAAUCUCUUGUGGGGAUUGUGAGCCAGAACUGCCUCUUCCCUGGGCCAACACUGCAUCAAUUGUGCGAGAAAUGGCUCUGGUCCCAUCCAAUCUGUGCCAGCAGAGAUUGUUACAUUCAAACCAACAUUUGCCACAGCAGGGGACUAUCAGAUGCUCUACUUGAAAGGCUGGAUUUUCUUUUUUGUUUUGUUGUUUAACUCAUU